This 103-nucleotide transfer RNA is filed under the name Pestalotiopsis fici W106-1. It matches the Rfam family "tRNA". Rfam says of the family: Transfer RNA (tRNA) molecules are approximately 80 nucleotides in length. Their secondary structure includes four short double-helical elements and three loops (D, anti-codon, and T loops). Lineage: Eukaryota; Fungi; Ascomycota; Sordariomycetes; Amphisphaeriales; Sporocadaceae. The record is from Rfam by way of RNAcentral.
GGUGUCAUAGUAUAGUGGUCAGUACAUCACGUUGUGGAAUAUCAACAGUUCCUCGACCACGGGCAAUUCCGUGAAGACCCCGGUUCGAUUCCGGGUGACGCCA